UGAAGGCUGAAAUUCGCCUUCAUGAAGCUGGAAUUGCUAGUAAUCGGCAGGUCAGCAUACUGCCGUGAAUACGUUCCCGGGCCUUGUACACACCGCCCGUCACACCAUGAGAGUCGAUAACACCCGAAGCCUGUGAGCUAACCUUUCAGGAGGCAGCAGUCGAAGGUGGGGUUGAUGAUUGGGGUGAAGUCGUAACAAGGUAUC
Molecule: ribosomal RNA, 204 nt
Filed under: uncultured bacterium
Lineage: Bacteria
Description: partial 16S ribosomal RNA
Rfam family: Bacterial small subunit ribosomal RNA
Source: RNAcentral